UUGCUCACUUUGGCAACAAAUACAACUAAAUUUUGAAUGAUACAAAGAUUAGCAUGGCCCCUGCACAAGGGUGACACACAAAUUCAUGAAGUUUUACAUAUUUUA
Sorex fumeus (smoky shrew) is the source of this 105-nucleotide small nuclear RNA. The record is from RefSeq and is a predicted model, not a curated record. NCBI's taxonomy places the organism in Eukaryota, Metazoa, Chordata, Mammalia, Eulipotyphla, Soricidae.